UUUUCAUAGCUCAGUGUCACUGGGCUGAGCCCAGUGGUCCCCAUCCUGGCCCCCAAUCCCAGCUUACUAACCUUCUUCUCUUGGGGUAGAGGGCAUAGAAAAGCUUAGUGACAUGCCCUAGGGUCCAACCUGAGGAUGGGGAUAAGCCCUGCCCUCCUGUGUCCAAGAGAUCCAUGUAGAGCUGCCAGGCCUGCCUGCCACAGACUGCUGGAGUGACCUGGAACCCGGAACUCUCUUUGUCCCUUGCUUUCUCACUGCUUUGGCCAGUUGGCUAGAGGCCUUUGGAGGGUACUCAAUAUAGUCCCUGUCCUCAAGACUACUCACCUUGCCUAUACCCCACCCCAUCCCCUCACGGCCUCCUCCAAAAAUCUCUCCCAGCUUGGUAGGACUUCUGACUCUCAUCCUUCUUCCUGGACACAGGUCCCGAGUGUCCCUCCCAAGGGGAACAGAGCUCAUCUGGCCAGAGCCCUGGCAUCACUGGAGGGCCAGGGCCUGGUGGAGCCCAGAGCUACAGUGAUGUGGUACUGGAUCUCCAGGGCCCAAGCAUCAUUCCCAGCUGCAGUUCGGAACCAGGGGUGUUUGGAGAAAAGCUUAUCUGGGCUUCUGCCUGCCGUGGACGAGGCUAUCAACCAUGGUGGACAUUCUGUCUCUUCUUGAGGACUGUUACCCAUACCCACCCCAGGGUUGGCAACAAGAUGGCCUGUAUACAGCACUGGCUCAGCUCGACCCAGAAGCCGGGGAGGGAGAUGUCGUCGCUGCCCUGCCGUACACCAGAGUCUCCAAAGUUAAUGGUCUCAGCUCCUGGGGGGGGUGGGGGGAAGGGUAGGCACCUGAAUUCUCCCAGAGCACCUCUUCCAGGCAGCUCUGAGUUCCCCCAGGGCACACUACAUCCCUCCCUGGUGGUGACAGGGCUCGGGCUGGGCCAGACCAGGCGGUGACAUCAUGAAAAGAGCCUUGCCAGUACUUUCCCGACCUCGGAAACCCCAGCAUCCCGCUCCAGGAACUGGCCUGCGGCACUGGCUUUGGCUGGCUGCCCCAGGAGUGUGGCAGGGAGGCCCGGAGGCCCCCCCCCCUGCUCCAGAGUCUGCUCCUUCAGUCUCUUCCCUUCCAGGGCCUUCCAGGGAUCCUGGGCCAG
This is a non-coding RNA of Peromyscus maniculatus bairdii (prairie deer mouse), 1135 nucleotides long. The record is from RefSeq and is a predicted model, not a curated record. NCBI's taxonomy places the organism in Eukaryota, Metazoa, Chordata, Mammalia, Rodentia, Cricetidae.